This 768-nucleotide ribosomal RNA is filed under the name uncultured bacterium. Its description in RNAcentral is "bacterial SSU rRNA". It matches the Rfam family "Bacterial small subunit ribosomal RNA", at positions 642 to 1406 of the family's 1533-position model. The record is from RNAcentral.
UAGAGUUCAGAAGGGGCAGAUGGAAUUAGUGGUGUAGGGGUAAAAUCCGUAGAUAUCACUAGGAAUAUCAAAAGCGAAGGCGAUCUGCUGGGAUGAUACUGACGCUGAGGCACGAAAGCGUGGGGGGCAAACAGGAUUAGAUACCCUGGUAGUCCACGCCCUAAACGAUGAAUGCUAGUCGUCGGGGAGCUCGUCUCUUCGGUGAUGCACUUAACAGAUUAAGCAUUCCGCCUGGGGAGUACGGUCGCAAGAUUAAAACUCAAAGGAAUAGACGGGGACCCGCACAAGUGGUGGAGCAUGUGGUUUAAUUCGAAGAUACACGAAGAACCUUACCUGGCCUUGACAUGGUAGGAACCCUUAAGAGAUUAGGGGGUGCUAGCUUGCUAGAACCUACACACAGGUGCUGCACGGCUGUCGUCAGCUCGUGUCGUGAGAUGUUGGGUUAAGUCCCGCAACGAGCGCAACCCUCGUCUUUAGUUGCUAACAGUUUGGCUGAGCACUCUAAAGAGACUGCCUUCGUAAGGAGGAGGAAGGUGAGGACGACGUCAAGUCAUCAUGGCCCUUACGGCCAGGGCUACACACGUGCUACAAUGGGGCGUACAAAGAGCUGCAAUACCGCGAGGUGGAGCCAAUCUCUUAAAGCGUCUCUCAGUUCGGAUUGUUCUCUGCAACUCGAGAACAUGAAGCUGGAAUCACUAGUAGUCGUAGAUCAGCUAUGCUACGGUGAAUACGUUCCCGGGUCUUGUACUCACCGCCCGUCACACCAUG